Molecule: transfer RNA, 71 nt
Filed under: Cyanobacteria bacterium REEB67
Lineage: Bacteria; Bacillati; Cyanobacteriota
Also listed under: 3 other names
Description: tRNA-Trp
Rfam family: tRNA
About the family: Transfer RNA (tRNA) molecules are approximately 80 nucleotides in length. Their secondary structure includes four short double-helical elements and three loops (D, anti-codon, and T loops). Further hydrogen bonds mediate the characteristic L-shaped molecular structure. tRNAs have two regions of fundamental functional importance: the anti-codon, which is responsible for specific mRNA codon recognition, and the 3' end, to which the tRNAs corresponding amino acid is attached (by aminoacyl-tRNA synthetases). tRNAs cope with the degeneracy of the genetic code in two manners: having more than one tRNA (with a specific anti-codon) for a particular amino acid; and 'wobble' base-pairing, i.e. permitting non-standard base-pairing at the 3rd anti-codon position.
Source: RNAcentral
GCGCCCUUAGUUUAAUGGUAAAACGAGGGUCUCCAAAACCUUUGUUGAGGGUUCGACUCCUUCAGGGCGCG